RNAcentral lists this small RNA (28 nucleotides) under Bombyx mori (domestic silkworm). RNAcentral's name for it is "ovarian small RNA-14110". The record is from RNAcentral. Lineage: Eukaryota; Metazoa; Arthropoda; Insecta; Lepidoptera; Bombycidae.
CGAACACUUACGGGUUGCGGUCGAGUCC